Molecule: unclassified non-coding RNA, 223 nt
Filed under: Hevea brasiliensis (rubber tree)
Lineage: Eukaryota; Viridiplantae; Streptophyta; Magnoliopsida; Malpighiales; Euphorbiaceae
Source: RNAcentral
UUUUGCACUUUUUAUUAUUUGAUUUAUUUUUGUUUUUAUGCCCUGUGAAAUUUCUCUGCACUGGAUGAAAAUGCAUAAAUAGAGAUGGGCUUUUCGUUUUCAGCAAAGAAAUCUGUGGGAAGAAUUUGGUGUAUUUUGCAGAUGGCUUUAUUAGAUAAUAAAUUUGAGGUUGAUCUCAAGAAUUUCUGUUUGUUUAGCCACUCAUUAUAGCUGUAGUUGCGUG